GGUGGGCAUACUGCCAAUGGAGCUCUGUUGGUAUCUCUUUGUAAAACUCUCGUGAUGAUACUAUAUUGUUAACAUCUCACACUUCUCUUAUUACACACCAAAAUCAGGUAACAUUACAAUCUCCCUUAUGUCUUUUUGUAAUGAUUCUUUGCAAAAAGAAGAGAUCAUCAUUAAAAGCUUCCACAUUUACUUCUCAUGUUGGAUAAAUGGAACGUUGAGAUAGUUUGCUCAAUCAUGUCUUUGUCGGUGAUUUGUUCACCACAUAAUUCAAGCUCAGAGGUGAUGCGAAGAAGGGCAGAGUUGUACUCACUAACAGUCCUAUGGUCUCGUAGCCUUAAAUGAACCCACUUGUAGCGAGUUUUAGAGAGGAAGACCAACUUCAGGUCUUCAUGAAGAUGAAGGCGAAGGAAUGUCAUGGCUUUAGUUUUUCUUGAAGGGACGUUUUAUUCCCAUCAAUGAUUGUCUCCCCUAGACUCAUUGCUUCCAGAUGGGUUUUAGCAUCAAAAGCCCACGAGGGGUAGUUGUUGUCCGAGAUUUCAAGUGCAGUGAAUUCAAGAUUUGAUAAGUUCGACAUUUUGUCUAUAAAGGAAAAAGACAUGCGUUUAAUAACAAGCAUGUGUAUAUGAUGGAUACUAUAG
This 638-nucleotide long non-coding RNA is filed under the name Helianthus annuus (common sunflower). Lineage: Eukaryota; Viridiplantae; Streptophyta; Magnoliopsida; Asterales; Asteraceae. The record is from RNAcentral.